This 24-nucleotide microRNA is filed under the name Ananas comosus (pineapple). Its description in RNAcentral is "microRNA s1115_c003b". Lineage: Eukaryota; Viridiplantae; Streptophyta; Magnoliopsida; Poales; Bromeliaceae. The record is from RNAcentral.
CGAAGGGCAGACCAGUAAGACCAC